GCAUGCCAAAAUGCCCUGGCACCGCAGCCCCUGCCUUACCACACUGCUCUUCAGAGGGAGGGGUGCGCAGGCAGUGCCACGGGAGCCGGGUAGGAUGGAGGAGGGGACCUAUCUAAAUGGAGGGAAGGGGCAGGUGAAUGGAUCAGCUCAGUUAGACCCAAGAGAGCCUCCUGCUUGUCCUAGACCUCAUUUUCCCAACCCAGUGGCAUUCCAGCCACACCUGCUAAGGCCUUGGGUACCUGCACACCAGAGUAGCAGCUCCUCCAGCCGGCAGAGAAAGACUUCAUUUGCCACAGUCAGCAGCAGCCCACUCGGGAAGCAACCCAGGGUCCGCUUGCCACCCAGCCAUGCCAGCUGAUCCCCUAACCAGGGGGCAUCACUUUUCUAGAACUUUCUGGGUCAUGAACCCUCAGGGAGGCAGCUAAUGCAACCCUUUCCCAAAGGGCCCUCUCCUAGUACCUGCAAAUUAUAAGGACACUAUUUGACUUGAUAUUAUUUCCAGAGGAAAAUAAAAGUAAGUUAAUAAAGGCA
Non-coding RNA from Macaca mulatta (Rhesus monkey), 531 nucleotides. NCBI's taxonomy places the organism in Eukaryota, Metazoa, Chordata, Mammalia, Primates, Cercopithecidae. The record is from RefSeq and is a predicted model, not a curated record.